Molecule: ribosomal RNA, 377 nt
Filed under: uncultured eukaryote
Lineage: Eukaryota
Description: partial 18S ribosomal RNA
Rfam family: Eukaryotic small subunit ribosomal RNA
Source: RNAcentral
CAAUAGCGUAUAUUAAAGUUGUUGCAGUUAAAAAGCUCGUAGUUGGAUUUCGGGGUGGCCUGGCUGGUCCGCCGCAAGGUGAGUACUGGUCAGCCGCCCUUCCUCUCGAAAGCCCCGACUGCUCUUUACUGCAGUGGUCGGGUAGUUCGGGACGUUUACUUUGAAAAAAUUAGAGUGUUCAAGGCAGGCUAUCGCCUGAAUACAUUAGCAUGGAAUAAUGGAAGAGGACCUCGGUCCUAUUUUGUUGGUUUCUAGGGCCGAAGUAAUGAUUAAGAGGGACAGUUGGGGGCAUUCGUAUUUAAUUGUCAGAGGUGAAAUUCUUGGAUUUAUGAAAGACGAACUAGUGCGAAAGCAUUUGCCAAGGAUGUCUUCAUUAA